UGCAAGUCGAGCGGGAAACGAGUUGUCUGAACCUUCGGGGAACGAUAACGGCGUCGAGCGGCGGACGGGUGAGUAAUGCCUGGGAAAUUGCCCUGAUGUGGGGGAUAACUAUUGGAAACGAUAGCUAAUACCGCAUAACGUCUACGGACCAAAGAGGGGGACCUUCGGGCCUCUCGCUUCAGGAUAUGCCCAGGUGGGAUUAGCUAGUUGGUGAGGUAAUGGCUCACCAAGGCGACGAUCCCUAGCUGGUCUGAGAGGAUGAUCAGCCACACUGGAACUGAGACACGGUCCAGACUCCUACGGGAGGCAGCAGUGGGGAAUAUUGCACAAUGGGCGCAAGCCUGAUGCAGCCAUGCCGCGUGUAUGAAGAAGGCCUUCGGGUUGUAAAGUACUUUCAGUCGUGAGG
RNAcentral lists this ribosomal RNA (406 nucleotides) under Vibrio sp. con11. RNAcentral describes it as "bacterial SSU rRNA". It matches the Rfam family "Bacterial small subunit ribosomal RNA", at positions 56 to 447 of the family's 1533-position model. The record is from RNAcentral. Lineage: Bacteria; Pseudomonadati; Pseudomonadota; Gammaproteobacteria; Vibrionales; Vibrionaceae.